Molecule: non-coding RNA, 399 nt
Filed under: Microbacterium sp. SUBG005
Lineage: Bacteria; Bacillati; Actinomycetota; Actinomycetes; Micrococcales; Microbacteriaceae
Description: bacterial LSU rRNA
Rfam family: Bacterial large subunit ribosomal RNA
Source: RNAcentral
AGAGUCCUAGCUCGGAAUGUUCCGGAUCCCUUCGGGGUGAUGGUCGUCCGUGUGAACGCUCGACCCCAUGCUGGUGCGGCUAGCGUAUUAACAGGUGUGACGCAGGAAGGUAGCCCAAGCCAGGCGAUGGUUGUCCUGGUGCAAGUGCGUAGGCCGACUCUUAGGCAAAUCCGGGAGUCAUGCAGGCUGAGACACGAUGCGGAUAAAAAAGUGGGUGAUCCUAUGCUGCCGAGAAAAGCAUCGACGCGAGGUUCUAGCUGCCCGUACCCCAAACCGACUCAGGUGGUCAGGUAGAGAAUACCAAGGAGAUCGAGAGAAUCGUGGUUAAGGAACUCGGCAAAAUGCCCCCGUAACUUCGGGAGAAGGGGGGCCAUCCACUUACUAGGACUUGCUCCGAAA